UUGUUAACUAGCAUUCACCCAUUCUUCCAUUCAGCCGCCGCACACUACCCACCGCUCCCACCCUCCUAGUCGCUCCCAGCCUCCCACCAUGCCGCCGUUGCCGCUCAGGUCAGGUCCACACGCCGCCGCUGCCGCUCAUUUAGGCGUUGAUGUCUCCAAUGGUUAUGACUCAUUCUUAAUUCAAAACGCUCCUCAAUCAGGCCGUUCAGGCGCCGAUCUCCUACGCCGCCGCCGCUGCUUAGAUCAAGUCUGCACAUUUCUUUUUUCGUCGUCCUCAACCGUGCUUGAUAUAUAUUUCUUUUUUCGUCGCCCGGAGUCGACAGCGGCUUGGACCUGAGCCCUGUUGGCACCGAGGGACUCAACUGCCUCCGCACACACGUUGUUGACAAAUUUUUAUGGUUUGGAAGCUUUGGAUUUGGAUUGAAAUUUGGUGGAGUUGUUUAAUAUUUGGAUUAAACUAUUUUUCUUUAAUUUGUGUUUAGUUGUUUAAUAUUUGUGCAGUGAUGAAUUAUGUGGCUGGUGGUUCGGAUAUGGUUUGAUGAUUUGCUCGUUGUUCUUAAUAUAAGUAUAAAAUAUACAUUUGUUAGCACAAAUGUAAACUUAUGUUACUAUAAGUAUUUACCUUCAUUCAAUUUAAAAUAUUAUAUUUUCUAAGCCUUAAGCCCUAAACCCUGAAUACUAAAUCCUAAACACUAAAUCCUAAAAUCUAAUAGGAAUAUUUAGUUUUAUUAAGUAUAAAAUAUACAUUUGUUAGCACAAAUGUAUAUUUAUGUUAAUAUAAUAUUUACCUUUCAUUCAA
RNAcentral lists this long non-coding RNA (799 nucleotides) under Salvia miltiorrhiza (redroot sage). Its description in RNAcentral is "long non-coding RNA (SMIL_LNC006973)". Lineage: Eukaryota; Viridiplantae; Streptophyta; Magnoliopsida; Lamiales; Lamiaceae. The record is from RNAcentral.